UACGUAGGUGGCAAGCGUUGGCCGGAAUUAUUGGGCGUAAAGCGCGCGCAGGCGGUCCUUUAAGUCUGAUGUGAAAGCCCACGGCUCAACCGUGGAGGGUCAUUGGAAACUGGGGGACUUGAGUGCAGAAGAGGAGAGUGGAAUUCCACGUGUAGCGGUGAAAUGCGUAGAGAUGUGGAGGAACACCAGUGGCGAAGGCGACUCUCUGGUCUGUAACUGACGCUGGGGCGCGAAAGCUAGGGGAGCGAACGGG
This 253-nucleotide ribosomal RNA is filed under the name uncultured bacterium. RNAcentral describes it as "partial 16S ribosomal RNA". It matches the Rfam family "Bacterial small subunit ribosomal RNA", at positions 524 to 776 of the family's 1533-position model. The record is from RNAcentral.